GAUGAACGUUGGCGGCGUGCCUAAUACAUGCAAGUCGAGCGAACAGACGAGGAGCUUGCUCCUCUGACGUUAGCGGCGGACGGGUGAGUAACACGUGGAUAACCUACCUAUAAGACUGGGAUAACUUCGGGAAACCGGAGCUAAUACCGGAUAAUAUAUUGAACCGCAUGGUUCAAUAGUGAAAGACGGUUUUGCUGUCACUUAUAGAUGGAUCCGCGCCGCAUUAGCUAGUUGGUAAGGUAACGGCUUACCAAGGCAACGAUGCGUAGCCGACCUGAGAGGGUGAUCGGCCACACUGGAACUGAGACACGGUCCAGACUCCUACGGGAGGCAGCAGUAGGGAAUCUUCCGCAAUGGGCGAAAGCUUGACGGAGCAACGCCGCGUGAGUGAUGAAGGUCUUCGGAUCGUAAAACUCUGUUAUUAGGGAAGAACAAAUGUGUAAGUAACUAUGCACGUCUUGACGGUACCUAAUCAGAAAGCCACGGCUAACUACGU
Molecule: ribosomal RNA, 496 nt
Filed under: uncultured bacterium
Lineage: Bacteria
Description: partial 16S ribosomal RNA
Rfam family: Bacterial small subunit ribosomal RNA
Source: RNAcentral